Molecule: non-coding RNA, 652 nt
Organism: Pogona vitticeps (central bearded dragon)
Lineage: Eukaryota; Metazoa; Chordata; Lepidosauria; Squamata; Agamidae
Source: RefSeq, a predicted model, not a curated record
GGUUACUGACCUGUCCGUCACAGUUACAUUAUCAGGUAUGAUGACAUAAGUAACUGGCUUGAUGCCCACAUACAGAGGGCCACCUUGUUAUGCUAUUCAAAAGUCUAACAUCAUUAGUACUAGCCCUGUGGUAGGAACUGAAUUUAGUUUUCUCCCAAACCAGUGACACAUCUACAAAUAAAGAAAAGGAAGAGUAGCAAUGUAGUAAGGAAGCAGUGUAGCAGGAUUAAACAGGACAAAGCCUAGAUUCGGUACCAAAGCUUCUAGAGAUGGCUUCUUUGUGUUCCAGCAUGCUGAAGACCUUCAUGGUUGACCUUCUGUUGCAAACAAAGGAGAUCCUGUGGAGGAAAAUCCAAAGGGACAUAUUUUGGAAACCAUGUACACAAUGGUUCUGUAGAGGUUUUGGUCCAAUACGUACAGCUUUUCUUCCUCAGCUUGCCUAACUCAAAGAAAGGGACUGGAAAUGGAAACAUAGCUUUUCAGUUUGCAUUUGGCAGAGCGGGCAUGGCAACAUUAGUUUAACAAAGAGACUAAAAAGUGUAUUUGUUUCUCCAUUGUAUGUGUUGUAUGUAAUCACAUCUUUGCUCCACCAUUUCAUUAAGUCCAAAAAAGCCCUUCAAAAUAUUUUGGCACAGAGAGACCAGGGCCACGU